This 377-nucleotide unclassified non-coding RNA is filed under the name uncultured bacterium. RNAcentral's name for it is "contains 16S-23S intergenic spacer region". The record is from RNAcentral.
UCCGGCUUAUCACCGGCGGUUUCUUUAGAGUGCCCAACUAAAUGAUGGCAACUAAAGACGAGGGUUGCGCUCGUUGCGGGACUUAACCCAACAUCUCACGACACGAGCUGACGACAGCCGUGCAUCACCUCGCACCCUGCCCCGAAGGGAAACCGGCUUUCACCGGCUGUCAGGGCACGUUCAAGCCCAGGUAAGGUUCUUCGCGUCGCAUCGAAUUAAACCACACGCUCCGCUGCUUGUGCGGGCCCCCGUCAAUUCCUUUGAGUUUUAGCCUUGCGGCCGUACUCCCCAGGCGGGGCACUUAAUGCGUUAGCUACGGCGCGGAAAACGUGGAGUGUCCCCCACACCUAGUGCCCAACGUUUACGGCAUGGACUAC